AGGGGGUGCAAGCGUUGUUCGGAAUUAUUGGGCGUAAAGCGCGUGUAGGCGGACCGUUAAGUCCGGUGUGAAAUCCCUCGGCUUAACUGAGGACGUGCAUUGGAUACUGACGGUCUUGAGUCCUGGAGAGGGUAGCGGAAUUCCCAGUGUAGAGGUGAAAUUCGUAGAUAUUGGGAGGAACACCGGUGGCGAAGGCGGCUACCUGGACAGUGACUGACGCUGAGACGCGAAAGCAUGGGUAGCAAACAGGAUUAGAUACCCUGGUAGUCCAUGCCGUAAACGANGGGUGNUAGUUGGUGCGGGUAUUGACCCCUGCGCUGACGAAGCUAACGCGUUAAGCACCCCGCCUGGGGAGUACGGCCGCAAGGCUA
This 371-nucleotide ribosomal RNA is filed under the name uncultured bacterium. RNAcentral describes it as "bacterial SSU rRNA". It matches the Rfam family "Bacterial small subunit ribosomal RNA", at positions 527 to 896 of the family's 1533-position model. The record is from RNAcentral.